RNAcentral lists this long non-coding RNA (381 nucleotides) under Glycine max (soybean). RNAcentral's name for it is "long non-coding RNA (GMAX_LNC001990)". Lineage: Eukaryota; Viridiplantae; Streptophyta; Magnoliopsida; Fabales; Fabaceae. The record is from RNAcentral.
UGGAAACUCUAAAGAAUCAUGUUAACAACAUUUAGAACAAGACAUGUGAGGAGAUACAUGGAGAAAAAUGAAGAAACAACAAUGGAAGAGAAGGUAAAGAAAAAAAAUUAAUGGAGGUUUAAGGAGCACCUACUUGAAGCUCUUGUGCUCUGAUACCACUUGAUGGAAGCUUGCUUGUGGAGCUUCUAUGGAGGCUGGAUCUUUGAGCUUCAAUGAGGUCCUUCAAUGGUGAUUUUUCACCAUGGAGAUGCAGCGGAAGACAAAGGAGAAGAGGUGAGAGGAGGCGCCAUCCAUUAAGGAAUAAGCCAUGGAAAAAAAGAGCUUCACCACCAAGAUGAGCCUUGGAUAAGAAGCUUGGAAGAAUGCUUCAAUGGAGGAAAA